Ruditapes philippinarum (Manila clam) is the source of this 354-nucleotide long non-coding RNA. RefSeq lists it as uncharacterized. The transcript is spliced from 2 exons. The record is from RefSeq and is a predicted model, not a curated record. NCBI's taxonomy places the organism in Eukaryota, Metazoa, Mollusca, Bivalvia, Venerida, Veneridae.
UUGGUUCGCCAACGUAGACUGUGUGCCAUGUACGACGAAUGAUCAAUGUAACAAUUCUACAUCGUGUUCUGGAGCAAACACUCCCAUCUGUGAACAUCCGGACCUCACCGACGUUAACGAGAAUGGUGGAUUGUGCACAUGCAGUGUUGGAUUGUGUUACUAUGUUGCUGAUUGUCAAGUACCGGAAGUAGAUCUUGAAUGCCCGUAUGACGACCGCCAUUGUUAUGACAACAAAUGUAUCUGCUCUCGAUUUCCAGUGUUUCCCGGAAGAAAAUAACAUGUUCUUCUAAUGUUUGUACAUUAACAUUCAAUACAAUUAUUCACUCGAAAUAAUUUUGAAAAGGAUACACAAUA